Physeter macrocephalus (sperm whale) is the source of this 1965-nucleotide long non-coding RNA. RefSeq lists it as uncharacterized. The record is from RefSeq and is a predicted model, not a curated record. NCBI's taxonomy places the organism in Eukaryota, Metazoa, Chordata, Mammalia, Artiodactyla, Physeteridae. The transcript has 2 exons.
CAGAGGGCGGGUGCGGGGUCGGCCGAGGGCUUCACCAAGGUCAGAGAUCCAGUCCCUUGAGAUGGGGGCGUUGCAGAGAAGGGCCAGGCUCCAAAGGAAGCAGGGAGCAGGAGAGCUUGGGCCUCUCUGAGCAGUGAGGCCGUGGUCCAUUUCUGAGCAGCCUAACGCAGGAAUGUCCAGCUGGCUUCCAAGUCAGAUCUGCUGUCUCAGGCGAAGGGCAGGCCCAGCUGAGUGGGAGCGGAUUCUUUCCCACUGCCUCAUUGUCGCUCCGAGAAAGGAAGUGUGAGUGCCCAGGGCAGGAGCCCUGCAUGCAGCCCCUGCCCAUCUUGUGCCCUUCACACUCCUGCUGCUCGAGGGGAACGCUGCCAUGGGAGCUUCUGUGACUUGCCCAGUGCUUUCAACCUGGAGGUAGAGGACAAAACCAACCAGCUCUGUUUGUUUGCAGCGGGAAGAAUUUCAGCACAAGGGAGUUAAGAAGCCUGUUGGCCGUGGGUCGCAAAGCCAAGCUUUCCUUCCGCACUCCUGGGUGCUCGUAGUGAUAGGAGGGAGUCUGUGCAAGCAGCGCGUGGGCGCUGGGGGGGGGACCUGGGCUGUAAGGAGGUGGAUCCACAUCCAAGGUAAUGAUGCUUCCCACCUCGUGGAGUUUUUGAAAAGAUCUAAAGAAGCAUAACAUGACAAGUAUGCAGCACAAUAAACACCGUGCCUUUCUCUCCUCUUCCCUAGAUCCUCAUAUCCCGAUGAGGUAGGAUUUAGCCAAUUUAUCCCCAUUCUACAGAUGAAGAAACUGAAUGCAGCACUCAGAGAAGGUGAUUUCCAUAAAUACUCAACAGGGGUUGUAUUGCAGAUACAUCAAUAUUUCCCAUCUCUGAGUUUGACAUGUGUGUUCAAUGGUCCAAGAAAAUCAAGGUUGGGGGUAGGGGUGAUGGUGCUAAUUUCCCAGAAGCAAUCUGACCUCUGCUCUUUGAAGUGUCACGAAAUUGGCUGGAGACUGCUCCCGUCAGCAGCACUGCACUAGGCUGCUGAAAGCACUUUUAGCACCUGAUUAAAAAGGAGCCUUAUUUUCCUGAGCAAUUACCAGCCUGCCUCUCAUGAUCUCAUCCCAAAGACAAGGAAGAAGAAUGACGGAAGGCUGGCCUCCUGAUGCUCACCCCACAGAACACUGAAUGGCCUGGCCUCACUGGUGUGUGGGAUGUACCAGGCAGGGCUUGGGCUGCGGCGGCCAGAGCUGUAGGGCAGCAAGUAGUGCUCGCCAUGGAGGUAGACUAUAUCCUUUCCAGCUCCGAUGGAGAUCCUGCUCUGACCUGCAUCCAGCCAUGACCUGGCUCCUGGGGGAAUGAAGCGAAAGGAAGAAAGGAACUAGGCUGAUUUGAAAUCCUCCUGUGGGGAGGUCAUCCCUUUCAUUUCCCAAAACAGCUCUUCCUGGGAGCACUUUAGCCUCAAGGUAUAUUAAAGGAAACAGAGACUCCUCAGGAGAUAACUUCCUGCCCCAAACUACACAGCCAGGAGUUUAGCAAAAAAGGAUUCAAACCCAAGCAGAGCCCUAAACAGCACACUGCAUUACACCAUGUUGCCCUGUAGCAUCCCUGGGCUGCCUUUAUGAGUAGCUAGGGGCUUGUGUUCACCUGGCCUUGCUCCCUCUGGUCUCACAGUGGGUAACAGAAAGUGUGCCCCACCCUGGGCAUGGCUGAAGACUCCUGCCCCCAUUUGUCCUGUAAUUGUGUCACCCCAAGGGCACUCCACACCUGGUCUCAGUCAUAACCAGGGCUGUCUCUUAGAGCUCAUAGUAGCAAGGAGCCAUAAAAAGGAAAUACCCAGUGCUGCCAAAGAUGUGGUCAAACAGGCAUGCUUACUCAUUGCUGGUGGCAGUGGAAAGCAAUUUGGCAAGAUGUAUGCAUACAAGCCUUGAUAAUGUGAAUCUCUUUGGUCCACUAAUCACACAUAUGCAAAUAUAUCUUUUUUUAACAU